RNAcentral lists this long non-coding RNA (1487 nucleotides) under Gallus gallus (chicken). Lineage: Eukaryota; Metazoa; Chordata; Aves; Galliformes; Phasianidae. The record is from RNAcentral.
UGUGGGGAGAGCUAUUGAUGUGUCAGCUGGACCUCACUGUUUGCCUUAUUGCCUAACAGCUUCCUUGAAGCACAGUAGUACUUGUUCUGUUGUACGGUGGAGGCGUGUAAAGAUAGACACAUACCUGCUGCUUUGUCUCAUUGAAACCGUCUGCAAUUGCUGAUUGCAGCUGACCUCAUUAUGGCCUUCCAGUAUUUAAAGGGAGUUUAUAAACAGGAUGACAAUCAACGUUUUAUGCGGGCAGAGAGAGAUAGGAUGAGGGGAAAUGGUUUUAAACUAAAGGAGGGGAGAUUUAGAUUAGAUGUCAGAGGGAAGUUUUUCACUGAGAGAGUGGUGAGUGAGGUGCUGGAACGGGCUGUCCAGAGAGGCUGUGGAUGCCCCGUCCUUGGUGGUGUUUAAGGCCAGGCUGGAUGCGGCCCUGGGCAAUCUGAUCUAGUACCUGAUCUAGUGGCUGGCAACCAUGCCCUCAGCAGAGGGGCUGGAGCUUGAUGAUCUUUGAAGUCCCUUCCAACCCAAGCUGUUCUGUGAUAUUUGUUAGUUUCAAAGCCUAAAGUGAUCCUUAAGCACCCCCAGUUUUUGUGCUGCAUUUCUGAGAGGAGUGGAGUGCCAGUCCCACCUGCAUCACAGCUCUGGUGAUGUAAAAUAAGCAGUCCUGGGAGUAAGGCAGUGUGCUGGGGAGUGUGUGCCGUGUGGAACAGUUCUCUCUUACACUAGAUCAAGACAAAGAAGUCAUGGAGAGCAUCAGCUCUGUUCAGAGCACCACUUAAAUAGUAGCGAUGGAUUCAGUGUAAGCUCUUCUGUGAACACUUGAGCGGAAGAAAUCCGGUCAUCUUUGGCUGGCUGUGACCUCUGGCUGGAGGUUUUCCUGUGGGCAGGAGAGCAGCAGCACGAUUCUUUCUCUGGGAUUUCACUGGCAUCCAAUAGGAUACAUAGCCUGUCCCUCUGGGGAGGCACUGCUCUGUGUGCUGCAGCCUGCUCUCAUGAAACUUUCAACGACCCAAAUGCCUGCUCUCUCUUCUCUUCUCUUCUCUUCUCUUCUCUUCUCUUCUCUUCUCUUCUCUUCUCUUCUCUUCUCUUCUCUUCUCUUCUCUUCUCUUCUCUUUUCUCUCAGACGUGAUUGAAAUUGGCUGAUGGGCUGAGAAGGUGUCAGUGCAGUCAGACAGACAGACGUCCACAUGUGCAUACGCACAUCCGUCAGGCUCCUGCCCGCACAAAGCGAUUGCCUAAAUCUGAUUUCCUUUAAGAAACCAGAUUGUGAAAAGGGGAGCGGAGGGAAGUCAGACAAGAUAGCCUCCUGUUCAGUUACAGUAGGUGUUUGUCCAGCUGCUUGCAGUGCAGUGCCCAGUCCUGCUACAGGGCAGCUGGGAGACCACUGUUGUUUGCGAGAGGGUGAGAUCAUAGGGAGUAACGAAGGUACUGUGCUACAUCUUAUCACUUCUGUUUCUUGAACUGUUUUAGAAUCCAGAUCACACACACUGCUUCGCUCU